CCCCUUGCACAGCCCCCGCCGCGCGCCUAGAUUAGCGUUGUUCCUUCGGGAACUAUGGCGAUAAACGCGCCCGUAAUAAGCGGAUCGGACCCGGGGGCGGUACCCGGCGGCUCCACCAAACAUCCCUCAUUUGGGGAUCAUGGGGCCGAAACAGGAUCGACGGACGUCUAAAGGGGUUAGCUUUCGCUCGGUGAGGAACCACCGUUAUCGGUCCGACAAAGCUAGUUGCAAAUGACAACAAAGCUCCGAUGGCUCUGGCUGCUUAAGCAGUUCGAUCUAUCGAAAUCUAAGCCCUUGCGCCUAGCAGCGUAAGGCGGGGUUCGCAGGCACCUGGCAACAGAAGCCUGCACU
This is a non-coding RNA of Rhodovulum sp. NI22, 351 nucleotides long. The record is from Rfam. NCBI's taxonomy places the organism in Bacteria, Pseudomonadati, Pseudomonadota, Alphaproteobacteria, Rhodobacterales, Paracoccaceae.